GCGGAACAGAGUUCAAACUGCUUUGCAGGACAUUUCUGAUUUCCCCAGCCAAAAGCUCAGAGCAGAAGAGACGAUGCCAAGCAAGAGGAAGAAGAACAGGAGGAGGAUGAGGAGAGUGGUAAAAGCUGAGGAACAGACUAUACCUCAGGUGGUCAGAGCCAAUGAAGCUGGGCCAACCAAGUAUGAGUCAGGGGCUGAAACUGAAACAGUCUCCAAGUUACAAUCAGACAUUGGUGAAGCUGAAGCUGUGUAUGCUGAACAGUGGGAGAAAUCUGCUUCAGAAACUGCAGUGGAACCUUUACCUGUUCUAGAGGAACAGAGAGAACCCUCCCAGGAAGAAACUACAGGGAGAGUGACUGAGAUAAAGGAAACACUGCUGUCCCAGUCUACUGAAGCUGAAACCAGAGGAGAGUUUUCCAUGGAAACAGAUGCUGCAGAGGAACCAGAAGCUGCUUCAAGUGACCCAUCCACUACAGAUGACCCUGCAGAUGAUCCUGUUGAUGAUCCUGUAGAUGAUCUGAUGGAAGAGCCAGUAGCAGAAAUGCAGAGUCACACACACCUCAGCUCUAUGCGGGUGGACGGCCCGGACUCUGUCGGGGGACUUCUGGCUCCCGCUGAAGUCUUUAUUGAGGGUUAAACUUGACCGGAGGGGAGGAACCGCUGGUGAUCUGGAUCUGCUGAACUGUGCAUUUCUGUCUUUAAACAGUGUCAGAUAUUGAUUAUUAUUACUCUAAUGGGUGCUGAUCAGUUUUGGAAUUAUUCAUUAAAGCUGGCAGAUAAAUGUAUGUUUUAUAUGUGUAUUAAAACAGUUGUUGUAUUUUGGAGGAAACCGAAAAAAGUGUUUGGAUUUGGUGAUCUGGACUGAUUGGAUUAAUCAAUACAAGAUUAAUUCAAACUAAACUUAACCUUUUUAGAAACACUGUUACUUCAACAGCUUUUGAUCCAUUAUUGAAAAAGAAUGUUUUUUUUUUUGUUGUUGAUACAUUAUUUACGGAUUCCUGCAGCUGGUCCUCUUUUACUAUCCUUACGUUUUUUUUUAUUUGAUUUUCCUUUAGAUUAUUUUUUUCAUGUAUUGCAUAGACUAGGUGUUUGGUGCUAAACUGCCAGUGUGUUUGGAAGGGUAGAGAAGCUUCAAUUGGAAUAAAAAAAUAAUUUCCCCC
RNAcentral lists this long non-coding RNA (1160 nucleotides) under Astyanax mexicanus (Mexican tetra). RNAcentral describes it as "lncRNA (ENSAMXG00005010830.1)". Lineage: Eukaryota; Metazoa; Chordata; Actinopteri; Characiformes; Acestrorhamphidae. The record is from RNAcentral.